UACGAAGGGUGCAAACGUUGCUCGGAAUUAUUGGGCGUAAAGCGCACGUAGGCGGCAUUGCAAGUCGGAUGUGAAAUCCCUCGGCUUAACCAAGGAAGUGCAUCCGAAACUGCAGUGCUUGAGUACUUAAGAGGAUCGCGGAAUUCCCGGUGUAGAGGUGAAAUUCGUAGAUAUCGGGAGGAACACCAGUGGCGAAGGCGACUUCCUGGCCUGUUCUUGACGCUGAGGCGCGAAAGCUAGGGGAGCAAACGGG
RNAcentral lists this ribosomal RNA (253 nucleotides) under uncultured bacterium. Its description in RNAcentral is "partial 16S ribosomal RNA". It matches the Rfam family "Bacterial small subunit ribosomal RNA", at positions 524 to 776 of the family's 1533-position model. The record is from RNAcentral.